UUUAUGGUCCCGGGUGACACGACGUCUGUGAACCCCGCCAGGUCCGGAAGGAAGCAACGGUAGCGGAACUAGUGGGUGCCUGGGGCCACUUUUCU
Molecule: signal recognition particle RNA, 95 nt
Filed under: Myxococcales bacterium
Lineage: Bacteria; Pseudomonadati; Myxococcota; Myxococcia; Myxococcales
Also listed under: 1 other name
Description: signal recognition particle sRNA small type
Rfam family: Bacterial small signal recognition particle RNA
About the family: The signal recognition particle (SRP) is a universally conserved ribonucleoprotein involved in the co-translational targeting of proteins to membranes.
Source: RNAcentral